UUCCUCAGCCUAAAGCUUCUGUGUUUGUCAGUCCUCUGCCACAGAGAUCCACGACAGCUUCUCUGUGAUGAUAGCAAAGGCGUCCGGAGAGUCCCCUGAGCUGAUCAGCACCUCCUGGCCUGAGAUCAGACUCAUUCUCUCCUAUUCUGCGUAUCAAGUCAACAUCAGUGGCGUCAACAACGCCAGCAUCUCUCCUGCUGUGAGCCAGCUGAUACCACAGCGUGAAGGUGUGGGAGACGUGAGGCUGAACGUGACGGUGCACAGCAACACGUCUUUUACCAUCUACUGGAGGGACGACCUGAUCAGAACAUUCGUCUGCUUCUCUGUGGAGUGGUGGAAGAAGGGGCAAAAAGUGACUUACAUGUCCUUCUAUGAGAGCGACAGGAACCACAAGACGCUACAUCCGAAAGGUCUGGAGCCGUACCAGAGGUACAGCAUCACUCUGCACACACGGCCCAACAAGGACACCUGCAACAUGAAGCACAUCAACAACAGCGAGAGCACCUACAGCACCGCACACUUCUACUCUGUGCAAGGAUGUAAGUCAGACGUCCUCCUAUCCUCUUACCAGCACAAAAUGCUACAACUGAGUUUUUGUCCUUCGUCAAGCUCCCGUCAGCGCUCCCACAAACAUCAGCAGCCACAAUGUGACGCUGGAUUCGGUGGAGCUGCAGUGGGGCGCCAUCCCAGAGGAGGACAUCCGAGGUUUCCUGCUGGGUUACACCAUCCACUACACCGAGUACCAGCAAGGGGAGGCGAGCACGGAGAACAAUGUUAUAGUGGAUCCAGAGCUUAACAACUACAAACUGGAGAAUCUUAUAAGCAGCACAACGUACCGAGUGCAGAUAUCAGGCUUCACAUCUGCAGGAGUCGGAGUACGAAGCGAAGAACUCCUCUUCAAAACAAAUCGUGAAGGUUGGAUCAUUUAACAACCGUUCAUAAUUGAUUUUAAGAUCAUUAUAAUUUCAUAAAAUUCUUUUUGAAUAUUCUUUGCACAGCAGAUUUUAUUUCCAACAGUGUCAUCACCAUGUUGGCAGUUCUGACCACUCUGCUGAUAUUUGGAUCACCGAUACUAAAAAGGUAUUCGAGAUUAUUAUCAGAUUAUUACUCAGAUCAACUCUACACAACUCAUCCUUCUCCGCCCCCUCCUGUCUAUAGAGCAAAGGUCCUGCUGUGGCCGAGCAUACCGAACCCUAGGAAAAGCAAUGCACUGCAGAAAAUAGACAGGCCCUGUGAGCUGGUGAGUGUCGGUUUCUGCUUUUAAAAUGUGCACCAUCAGAAGCUGUGAGAUGCUCUGUGUUAUUUUCACCCAGGAACUCCUCGGGGCGAUCGACACCCUGAAGGUGGAAGAACGGGACACAGAAAGUCUUCAGCUAGUCGAAAAGGUGGCGGCGACCCCUGCUAGCACUUCACCGUCCACGAUACCACUCCUCCACCAUUCAGGAGACGAGACAGACUCAGCGGGAGCAACCUGCAACUGGAUGCAAACGGACACGGGAAGUAUGACCGGAGACUUCAUGUCUGAUGAGUUUAAAACCUUGGACACGCAGCGGACAGUCGUCCAGAGUUCACCUUUGACCUUUUCAAGCGAAUAUACCACGAUCGAGAUGUUCCAGCAGGCGAUGCCACAGCCAGCACCAUCAGUCUUAGAAGCAGAGGCCGCAGAUGUGACUGUGGUGCCAUCACGGAUGGACUACAUACGACAAUUCAGUUCCAGUCCGACUUCUGAGGGCGAGCACCUGUCCACAGUCUGCUGAGCCGUCAAUGCCUGAGAGACAGUUUCACUGCUCACUGGCUGCUGCAGGUCAACAGCAUGGAUUCGUAUGUGUGUUAAUGAUAAAUAGCAAUACUAAGAUUAGCUGGUUUUUUAUAUAAACGAGAGGUUGUUGUGGCUUCCUUCGAAGGUCGUGCAUAAAGAGUCAUCUAACUCGCUUGAAGUUAGCUACUACCACCAUAACACACCUGAGUCUCUGAUAAACUAGACUAUGGAUGAACUGGAUUGUGGGUAAUGUAGGCACCAACAUUUAGAAGGAUGUGUAAAAUAUAAAAACAUUUCUGGUUAAUGAAGGUGCCAAACAUCCAAGCAUUUUGUUGCAUACGUUAUAUAAACAGUUGAGUGUCGUCAGCAAAGUAAUGAACAUUAAUGAUUGCUUCACAUUAAAAUAUAUAUAUAUUUUAAUGAAGUUUGUUUCUCACUGAAACGUGGAGCAAACCAUCUGAAUGAAAAGUCUCUUUAUUGAGUGUUUUUGGAAACAAAUGAGACGUACUGAGAAGGACCACACACACCUACAUCCAAGCUCCUCAAACACAGCGCUACCAAACGUUUACACGCCGCCCCAAACACAUCACGCAGCCAAACCCAGUGGAGCUGGAGCACACAUCGUCAAACAACUUGCGUAGUGGAUAUAAAAAAUAAAACUCUUCACAUACUGUCAGUUUUUUUCAUGAGUUCCCAGGUUAAAUAAAAGCAGCGUUCAAAAUCAGCUCGAUCAAGAUCUGAGGCCGGAUAUUUACAACAAAGAUCACAAUACUGCAAAAUCAAACAUGUUAAAACAGAGGCAUGAGUCCUCAGUCUACUCUGCUACUAAUGACUACAAUACUUUAAUAUAACAUCUCAUUAGUUUCAUCUAUUCAACGUCUAAAACAAUAUUUUCAUAGAAUAUUCUGUACAAUCUUAGUCGAGGCACUUUUUGACCCUCCUGUGCUUGCAUGCAGUCUGUUGUCCUCUCACUGUGAACUUCCUGUUUUCUCCACUAACACAAGCUGAAUCGCACUCCAUCAUUUUACAGUAUCGGCCUGUGUCACAUGUAUAAACAGGUUGUUUUUUCCCCCCUCACAGUAUUACGAUAGCAGGACGAUGAACCGUGACAUCUACUAAAUCAGAAAUAUUACAAAAAGCAAAUACCCAUUAAAAAAACAAGUAAAGCAACACAUUCGUGUUUUUCUUUUACAACAGCAAGAACAUAAUACCAAUCUGGAAUCUCAUGAUUACAGGUCAUAAAUAAGCCAUACAGCUUCCCAAAUGAUGAUGAUGGUGAUGAGUGCAGACAGGGGAAUGGAGGAGUUUAUUCAGACAAAGAAAGGGUCAGUGAGCACUUCAGCAGAAACUUUCUUUUAUAAGCUGUCAGGGCGGUUUGGACUUAACUCUAAAUAAACAGACUGAUGAUGGUGAAGUCUGUUACAGCCGAGCAGUGAGGAGCAUGCGGCAUGGGAAACUCAAGAAUUCUGCUUAAAUUUGGGCAUAGUCUGAUGUGCAACUUCCCAAAAAUAAACAACACUUCAUGACCACACUGAACUGUUACAACUGCGGUUGGUCUGCGUUUUUUUGCACCUCAUUUCCUCCCAUGCAACUGAGCAGAUUAUGUCAUAUUGGAAGCCACUAGACAACCAACACUGAUGGAAAAAAAGGUCAGAAUAUGGGCCAAGCAGCGGAGCUGAGAAGUUUACUCCUGCUGUACAGCUGGACAUUUUAAAAGAGUGCCUACAGUGACUGACUUUCAGAUAAACACCAUCAUUUUAUUUGCUUCAACUACAGCAUGAUUUACUUACAAAUAAAAUGUGAACCUGCAGCCAAACAGAGCCAGGUGCAAGAUAUCAAGUCUCUAUUUCUACUAAAUUGCAGCCUGUUUACCAUUUAAUCCCAGAAAUUAGCACAACUUUUCCGAGAAAUCUGGAUCCGUACAUGUCAUCGAGCUUAAGAAUGUUUUUUGAACUUGGUUGGUUUUGUGUCUGCUCAGCUGAGUGCUCACUCACCCUUUAUAAGCCUAUAUAAGAGAGCUCCUGCAUAAAUGAGGAGAACAUGAAGAGAAGGACAGUUGUGUUGAUUCAGUUUACGUACGGUGAGAUACUUUGCUGGAACAGGGUGCUGUUAGAGUCACUUGGCGCUGUCCGCACCCACAAAUGCAUCCUCCUCGCCGUGUGUCUUGUAGCUGCCGUUGUGCUGGGCGCACGGUGACAACGCCAUGUCCUCGCUUGGCGUGGCCGAGUCUUCUCUGUCGCUUUCAUAUUCCUCCCUCUCCUCUCUGUUGUAGUCCACCUGAAACAACGAGCGAACCAUCAAAGUUGGGAAGAACGGUGGACAGCCGCACACUGUUCUCUUCCUCUCCUUCCUGAAGGCCUCACUGUCAUCGCCUUGUCUUUA
This is a long non-coding RNA of Parambassis ranga (Indian glassy fish), 4141 nucleotides long. The record is from Ensembl. NCBI's taxonomy places the organism in Eukaryota, Metazoa, Chordata, Actinopteri, Ambassidae.